UUGAAGGGAAGACCAGCUGCAGCCCACACGGAAGGGGACAGAGGAGAAUGUUCCUCCUAAGAAGGGGAGGAGGUUCCUGGCUUGCAGUGMCUCUGCGUAUUGUAGGGCUGUGUCUUACUGGAGCUGUACAUUCUGGACAAGAUCUGAGGUCUCUUCUACAGCACAAAAUCCAUCUAUACCCUGAAGACCAUCUGAUUUCCAAAAACUUGCUUUGAUCAAGCAAGGACAACUUAUUUGGAAUACCUUCCUCUCUUCCUGCAAAUCUCUGAGCAGAUUUCAAGGCAUCGUAUUUCCCUGUGUUCAGAAGAACCCCUGGAUCUUCCCUCAAGCUUCCCGAGCKCUUCCUUUACAGUCCCUGCGGUUUCAGGCAGUGAUUUCUGUGGGCAGAAUGAAUGGUUUUUGUUUGAGGCAAAACAACUUCCCUUGAGUAACUGAACAAGGGACACUGAAAAGUAGAGAACUGCUUCCAGCAAAUCCUUCUCUUCUAUGUACUGGCCUCCCCAUGUGCACUUAGACACUUCUGCACAUUUUUAGUCUUUCGGAAUUUUUUUCCUCUUGUAUUAAUAUGGAUCGUUAUUAAUUCCCCAGUUGGAAUYUCCUGUAAUCUCCUGAUUCCAGGAGACAGUUGGCAUCGCUGCAAAUACUUUGUUUUCCUGAUUGUCAGAUUGCA
Molecule: long non-coding RNA, 670 nt
Organism: Nothoprocta perdicaria
Lineage: Eukaryota; Metazoa; Chordata; Aves; Tinamiformes; Tinamidae
Exons: 3
Source: RefSeq, a predicted model, not a curated record